This 253-nucleotide ribosomal RNA is filed under the name uncultured bacterium. Its description in RNAcentral is "partial 16S ribosomal RNA". It matches the Rfam family "Bacterial small subunit ribosomal RNA", at positions 524 to 776 of the family's 1533-position model. The record is from RNAcentral.
UACAGAGGUCUCAAGCGUUGUUCGGAUUCAUUGGGCGUAAAGGGUGCGUAGGUGGCGGGGUAAGUCUGGUGUGAAAUCUCGGAGCUCAACUCCGAAACUGCACUGGAUACUGCCUUGCUCGAGUACUGGAGAGGAGAUUGGAAUUUACGGUGUAGCAGUGAAAUGCGUAGAUAUCGUAAGGAAGACCAGUGGCGAAGGCGAAUCUCUGGACAGUUACUGACACUGAGGCACGAAGGCCAGGGGAGCAAACGGG